Molecule: long non-coding RNA, 563 nt
Filed under: Olea europaea subsp. europaea
Lineage: Eukaryota; Viridiplantae; Streptophyta; Magnoliopsida; Lamiales; Oleaceae
Source: RNAcentral
GCUAUUCAGCCAUUGCAUGCAAAAACGCCAUCAUUUAUUGGGGAUCAGAAAAUUAGCUUGUCAUGGAAAGAAGUAACUAAAUCGUCAACUCCAUCAAGCACCACUGCUGCAGGGUAACUGAGACAAAGCACCUUCUGAAGUUUCCAUUGCUACUAUUCAGGUUUCUGUGUUAACAUUCUCGGUUUGCCUUUGCAGUCAAAAACGAAGUGCUGCUACUAAUAUAUCUGGCGCCAAUGCAUCCAAAAGGGGUAGGGGAAUGGGAGGUGUACAAAACCAACUUCUUAACAAGGCAUUUGAAGGUUUAAAUGGUGGCCGAGGUGGUGGAAGGGGUGGUGGAAGAACUGGUGGGAGAGGUGGCGGAUGGUGGGGUCGUGGUAGAGGAAGGAGUUAUCGCUAAAACUGGUCUCGUUUACUGUAUAAUUCGCAGAAUAUACUGAUGCACAUGAGAUUGUUGUAACUUUUAAGUUUAUUUUCUCACCUAGUACUGUUCAUUCGUAACUUGCAUUCGAUCAGUUCUCAGUUCUAACUAGCUCUCUCAUUAGAUAUUAUUUUUCUUGGAAAGC